GGCGAACGCUGGCGGCGUGCUUAACACAUGCAAGUCGAGCGGUAAGGCUCCUUCGGGAGUACACGAGCGGCGAACGGGUGCGUAACACGUGAGUAAUCUGCCCUUCACUUCGGGAUAACCACCGGAAACGGUGGCUAAUACCGAAUACGACCAGUCUUCGCAUGAGGUGCUGGUGGAAAGUCUUUUCGGUGAAGGAUGUGCUCGCGGCCUAUCAGCUUGUUGGUGGGGUAAUGGCCUACCAAGGCUUCGACGGGUAGCCGGCCUGAGAGGGUGACCGGCCACACUGGGACUGAGACACGGCCCAGACUCCUACGGGAGGCAGCAGUGGGGAAUAUUGGACAAUGGGCGAAAGCCUGAUCCAGCAACGCCGCGUGAGGGAUGACGGCCUUCGGGUUGUAAACCUCUUUCAGUACCGACGAAGCGCCCUGUCGGGUGGUGACGGUAGGUACAGAAGAAGGACCGGCCAACUACGUG
Molecule: ribosomal RNA, 474 nt
Filed under: uncultured bacterium
Lineage: Bacteria
Description: partial 16S ribosomal RNA
Rfam family: Bacterial small subunit ribosomal RNA
Source: RNAcentral